Molecule: RNA transcript, 2222 nt
Organism: Sesamum indicum (sesame)
Lineage: Eukaryota; Viridiplantae; Streptophyta; Magnoliopsida; Lamiales; Pedaliaceae
Gene name: P53/DNA damage-regulated protein
Source: RefSeq, a predicted model, not a curated record
GACGAGGACGAAAACUGUAUUAUCCCGAGUCUGACUAUUGAAAUCAUUUGAGAACUCUCUCUCUCUCGCGCGCGCGGUAGUGAGAAAAAUUGCAGAAGUCCAUCUUCAGUCUUCACGACCACGAAUCCAUCGGCACGCGGCACACCUUCUCUCCGACUCCACCAUUAAGAGUGAACAGGCCCAAGGGAGCCAACGGUGGACGACAAGGGGACUCCACUUUGAAUUUUCCGGUGGUAUGCUCACGGAUGUCUGAGAAUGUUUUUGUGAAAUUUGUUUAAAGAAAGAACAAAGAACCUUAAUCUGUGCCGUCAGUCCAGCAGCAACAGCAGCGUUCUUCUUUCUUCCAUCUCCUCACAUAGUGUCUUCUCUCUCUUCUUCCUUUUUGCUUCUAUCAAAGAGAAAGUUCUGCCUGUCAUUUUUUUAUCUGUUUUUCUCAAUUGUAAUUAUCAAUAAUGUUAGAUCUUAACAUUACUUUAUACUAUCAAUCGGGACGGAAUGGAUGAGAGUAUGAAGCAAUUCCAGCAGGGACUGAUCGAGGUUGAAAUUGAAGCGGAAAAUCUUUUAUUAGCACGCCAUGAGUUGGUUGAAAUUGAUAGAGUGAGGAAUGGCAACAGGGAAGCUUUAACAGCCCUAAGAAAGAGGGCUAAAACAACAAAUACCAGUGUCCCUUCCCCAUUCGAGUCAAUAAUGAGGGAUGUUGAUACAAGGCCACUGGUGAAAGAGGUCUGUGCAACCUGUGGUGAUCAUGACUCAAGGGAGAAGACGUUGUUGAUGUUUCCUGGAACUGAUGUCUUUGCUGCUAUACCAUUUCAUGCUGCUCAUACCAUUUUAGAGAAAGAUCAAGCACGCCUUGAUUUUGAUUCUAAGAAACUCCAAAGCUAUGUGAAAGAGAAGUCCUUUUCGAUAUCAGAAAAAGGUGUUCUUGCCGACAAGAUCAGUCCUGGUGUGCUAAGAUCUCUUGUGACCUUAACUGACAAAGCAAAGACUGAGGAGAAAGAUUGAUCAUGGCAGUAGGGAUUUAAAUUGUUACCGACAGGAGGUCUGAAAUUCCGGCUGAAUGAAGAAGAAAGACAGCGACUAAAGAAGCUACCUACUAAUGAUGAGAGCUGCUGUCAAGAGGAAUUACAGGUUUAGAUGGCUGCAGUUAAUUUUUUCAUGCCAAGGAGUGUCAUGAUUUGUGAUGCGUACGCACCGGCACUCUUGAAUGGACAGGUUGGCUGAAAAAUUCAGAAGGACGAAAAUAUUGAUACACAUGAUAUGAUAAGAAACAGAGGAGAAGACAAGCUUCUGGGUCCCAUAAGUAGUUCCACUCAUAUUCUCGCAUUUUGUAUUAUGCUUUUGAGACAAAGCCUUGAAAUUUCUUCAAUACCUUAUAUCAUCUUUCCGAAGGGUUACUAUUUGGACAUAGAUUGUCUUAGAAGACAGUGUGUGUGAACAGACAUAAAGCUUAAUUACACUUUGAAUAUCAAGAAUCACUUAUUCUUGUACUGUGCAUUGAUUGGACGACAUGGAUUGUGAUUAGUUGUGAGGAUCAGUGAUCGAAAGAUAUGGGACACUGAGGAAAAUGAGAUGUGAUAAGUUUUAAUCAGUUGUAAGCAAUAGAGAUAAAAAGAUGUGGACCAUUAAGGUAAGUAGGAUGUCACCAGCUCUGAUUAAAUAUGGACCAUUUAGGAGAAUGAGAUGACACGAGUUUUGAUUAGUUGUGAGCAUCAUAGAUCGAAUAAUGUGAACCGUUGAGAGAACUAGGGUGUCAGUGCGGCGGACAUGAUUCUUAUUAGGAGGCAUGUAUAUAUGAUUGAUCACAAUUGGAAAGUUGGGGGGGCAGUGUCCUGAUUGAUCCACAAACCAAAAUCAAUGUAUUGUACCUGCUUUAUGGCUGUCAUUAUUUUCAUGAUUAAGGUUGUGAGAUGUUGACAAUGCAGUAAGGAAAAGUAGUUGUUGCUUAAGCAAAUAUCUCUAUUAUUGAUAACAUCUCACUAUCCUGGAAUUAAUGAAGACGGAGGAUGCAUGGCACUUGCACUAAGCAAAUUUGCUACUGUUGUCUGGUAGGAGUUUUGUGUUUACUAUGGUUUCAGAAUUUUAAGGUUAAUUGGACAAAAGGGCAAACAGUGGGACACAGGGAAAAACAAAACAAAAAAAAAAAAAAAAAGUUGGCAGUUUGCACAGUGCUAAAAACUGCUCGAAGUCAUGGUAAUUUAGGAAUUGUUUGUAAUAUCUUUUGU